This 301-nucleotide ribosomal RNA is filed under the name uncultured bacterium. RNAcentral's name for it is "partial 16S ribosomal RNA". It matches the Rfam family "Bacterial small subunit ribosomal RNA", at positions 509 to 807 of the family's 1533-position model. The record is from RNAcentral.
CAGCCGCCGCGGUAAUACAGAGGAUGCAAGCGUUAUCCGGAAUGAUUGGGCGUAAAGCGUCUGUAGGUGGCUUUUCAAGUCCGCCGUCAAAUCCCCGGGCUCAACCCUGGACAGGCAGUGGAAACUACCAAGCUGGAGUACGGCAGGGGCAGAGGGAAUUUCCGGUGGAGCGGUGAAAUGCGUUGAGAUCGGAAAGACCACCAACGGCGAAAGCACUCUGCUGGGCCGACACUGACACUGAGAGACGAAAGCUAGGGGAGCAAAUGGGAUUAGAUACCCCUGUAGUCCCUGUCUCUUAUAC